AAUGAACGUUGGCGGCGUGGAUUAGGCAUGCAAGUCGAGCGAGAACCCGCAAGGGGGACAGCGGCAAACGGGGUAGUAAUGUGUCGGAACGUGCCCUCUGGACGGGGAUAGCGGCGGGAAACUGCCGGUAAUACCCGAUGAACUCGAGAGAGCAACGGUGUGGUUCCGCCGGAGGCGCGGCCGACAUGGUAUUAGCUAGUUGGCGGGGUAACGGCCCACCAAGGCUGUGAUGCCUAGGGGAUGUGAGAGCAUGAUCCCCACCAUUGGGACUGAGACACUGCCCAGACACCUACGGGUGGCUGCAGUCGAGAAUCUUCGUCAAUGGGCGAAAGCCUGAACGAGCGACGCCGCGUGCGGGAUGAAGGCCCUUGGGUUGUAAACCGCUGUCGAGGGGGAUGAAGGCUUGAAGGUACUCCUUCAAGUUUGACAGAGCCCAGAAGGAAGCACGGGCUAAGUUCGUGCCAGCAGCCGCGGUAAGAC
This 480-nucleotide ribosomal RNA is filed under the name uncultured bacterium. Its description in RNAcentral is "bacterial SSU rRNA". It matches the Rfam family "Bacterial small subunit ribosomal RNA", at positions 29 to 526 of the family's 1533-position model. The record is from RNAcentral.